AUUAGACGAAUCAUCUGGAAAGAUGAAUCAAAGAAGGUAAUAAUCCUGUAGUCGAAAAUGUUGUCUCUCUUGAGUGGAUCCUGAGUACGACGGAGCACGUGAAAUUCCGUCGGAAUCUGGGAGGACCAUCUCCUAAGGCUAAAUACUCUCUAGUGACCGAUAGUGAACCAGUACCGUGAGGGAAAGGUGAAAAGCACCCCGGAAGGGGAGUGAAAUAGAACCUGAAACCGUGUGCUUACAAGUAGUCAGAGCCCGUUAAUGGGUGAUGGCGUGCCUUUUGUAGAAUGAACCGGCGAGUUACGAUUUGAUGCAAGGUUAAGCAGUAAAUGUGGAGCCGUAGCGAAAGCGAGUCUGAAUAGGGCGUUUAGUAUUUGGUCGUAGACCCGAAACCAGGUGAUCUACCCUUGGUCAGGUUGAAGUUCAGGUAACACUGAAUGGAGGACCGAACCGACUUACGUUGAAAAGUGAGCGGAUGAACUGAGGGUAGCGGAGAAAUUCCAAUCGAACCUGGAGAUAGCUGGUUCUCUCCGAAAUAGCUUUAGGGCUAGCCUCAAGUGAUGAUUAUUGGAGGUAGAGCACUGUUUGGACGAGGGGCCCCUCUCGGGUUACCGAAUUCAGACAAACUCCGAAUGCCAAUUAAUUUAACUUGGGAGUCAGAACAUGGGUGAUAAGGUCCGUGUUCGAAAGGGAAACAGCCCAGACCACCAGCUAAGGUCCCAAAAUAUAUGUUAAGUGGAAAAGGAUGUGGCGUUGCCCAGACAACUAGGAUGUUGGCUUAGAAGCAGCCAUCAUUUAAAGAGUGCGUAAUAGCUCACUAGUCGAGUGACACUGCGCCGAAAAUGUACCGGGGCUAAACAUAUUACCGAAGCUGUGGAUUGUCCUUUGGACAAUGGUAGGAGAGCGUUCUAAGGGCGUUGAAGCAUGAUCGUAAGGACAUGUGGAGCGCUUAGAAGUGAGAAUGCCGGUGUGAGUAGCGAAAGACGGGUGAGAAUCCCGUCCACCGAUUGACUAAGGUUUCCAGAGGAAGGCUCGUCCGCUCUGGGUUAGUCGGGUCCUAAGCUGAGGCCGACAGGCGUAGGCGAUGGAUAA
Molecule: ribosomal RNA, 1089 nt
Filed under: Staphylococcus aureus
Lineage: Bacteria; Bacillati; Bacillota; Bacilli; Caryophanales; Staphylococcaceae
Description: partial 23S ribosomal RNA
Rfam family: Bacterial large subunit ribosomal RNA
Source: RNAcentral